GUAUAUUACCUCAUUUAAAAUCGCGGAAGCAUUUUGAAAACUUUGUUGCUGGAAGCUCGUGUUCCUUAGAAAAAUCAUGCCAUUUUGAAAUCUCGAGUUUUCCUAGACUAGCAGUUUAGUAUAAGAAAUCACAAUCCAAAUUAAAACUUAAAACCCACCAACAGCCUUAUUACAUAAAGUAAAAACCCAAAACGAAAUCUAAUUACAAUUAAAAGAAACAGAAAUAGUAGUGUGGCCAUCUCCGAGUCCCUCGCAGCUCCAACCAUCUAAGCUUAGGGAUUACCUGCACAAUUAGAAAUGGGUUGAGUUUACGAAAACUCAGUGUGUAAUCCCAAUAACAAACAAACGGUGAAUAACACAGUAUCAGUACAAUCUGGGCCAAAGCCCUAUUCAUUCUCGACAUAUACUGGGCCGAAGCCUUUUGUUUAACGGUUACUAGGCCGCAGCCUUUUCAUAAAUCAAAUCACUGGGCCGAAGCUUUUAUUGUAAAUGGUAUGGCCCAUAGGCCCAUUUCAAAAUCACAUGAAAUACCAAUGAAUGUAUGCAAGCCCAUUUGGGGAGACUACUCAACCCACCAUCCGCUACUCUCCACCCGUACCAACCAAGCUCUUCAUGUGGGGAAUAACUCAACCCACCCAACCAAACUCUCCACUGCCAGCAUAGCUGCUUUAUCAUAUAACUGGAGGCCUAGACUCUUUUAAUAACUGGGGCAAAGCCCUUUUUGAUAAACUGGGGCAAAGCCCUUCUCGGUAAACUGAGGCAAAGCCCUUUUCGGUAAACUGGGGCAAAGCCCUUUUAGCACUUCCUCCAUUUUUAUAAAAUCCAACCCAUGCAACAUGUCAUGUACGCAGAAUGUCAUGCCCAUAUUUGAAUCAAACAAUCACAGUCAAGUCAUUCAUAUCACCAACAUAUAUUCACAAUCAAAUCCGUCAACCACACAAUCCAAGUCAGUCACUUGCCCACAAGGGCAAAACAGUCAUUUAACACCCUAGGGGUAAAAUGGUAAUUUUACCCCACAAGGGUAUCUCGGUAAUUCUACCCUACAGGGGUAUUUCAGAAUUUCUACCCUACAAGGGUAUUUCGAUAAUUCUUCCCUACAGGAGUAUUUCAGUAAUUCUACCCUAUAGGGGUAUUUAGGUAAUUCUACCCUACAGGGUUAUUUUAGUAAUUCUACCCUAUAGGGGUAUUUUGAUACUUUACAAAUCGAGAGUAUUUCGAUAAUUUCACAAAUCAAGCGUAUUUUGGUAAUUUUACAAGCCAGGGGUAUUUUGGUAAUUUUACAAACCAGGGGUAUUUUAGUAAUUUUACAAACCAGGGGUAUUUUGGUAAUUUUACUAAUCGAGGGUAUUUUGGUAAUUUUGUAAACCAAGGGUAUUUUAGUAAUUUUGUAAAUCGAGGGUAAAACGAUAAUUCUGUAAGUCGAAGGUAAAAUGGUAAUUCUAUAAAUCGAGGGUAUUACGGUAAUUUUGUAAAUUAAGGGUAAAAUGGUAAUUCUAUAAAUCGAGGGUAAAAUGGUAAUUUUAUAAAUCGAAGGUAAAAUGGUAAUUUUAUAAAUCGAAGGUAAAGCAGUAAUUCUGUAAAUCGAGGGUAAAACGGUAAUUCUAUAAAUCGAGGGUAAAAUGGUAAUUCUAUAAAUCGAAGGUAAAAUGGUAAUUCUGUAAAUCAAGGGUAAAACAGUAAUUCUAUAAAUUGAGGGUAAAAUGGUAAUUCUAUAAAUUGAGGGUAAAACGGUAAUUCAAUUGAGGGUAAAAUGGUAAUUCUAUAAAUCGAAGGUAAAACGGUAAUUCUGUAAAUCGAGGGUACUUUGGUAAUUUUACAAUUUGAGGGCAUUUUAGUAAUUUGAUAAACUAAAGUAUUCUAAAUAGGGAUAACAAUACGAAUGGGCCUAAAGCCUAUUCUCGGCCCAAAUGGGCCCACACGCUCGUGUGGCCCUUUUAGCCCAAAUCUAGCCACAAAUAUGAGAUUUACCUAGCCUAGUCCAAUAUUUACUACACAAUCAAACAACUUAUUCAAUUGGGCCCGUAGGCCCAUUGGGCUCACAUAACCCCAUUCGGCCCAUCGCGGCCCGAAGUAGCCAUCCUACAACUAGAGUAGUGAGAAAUACACACCUGAUUGGAGACUAGAGUUAAUCCACGCUCCGAGCACUCUUAGCCGACGCCCAACCCAAACGAGCACGCCAUAAAGCGAAAGGGAUAAGCCAAGAAAG
Molecule: long non-coding RNA, 2206 nt
Filed under: Gossypium barbadense (sea-island cotton)
Lineage: Eukaryota; Viridiplantae; Streptophyta; Magnoliopsida; Malvales; Malvaceae
Description: long non-coding RNA (GBAR_LNC004496)
Source: RNAcentral